GCUGGGUGUGGUGGCUCACCCCUGUAAUCCCAGCACUUUGGGAGGCUGAGGUGGGAGGAUCACCAGAGGUCAGGAGUUUGGGACCAGCCUGGCCAACAUGGUGAAACCUCAUCUCUA
Macaca fascicularis (crab-eating macaque) is the source of this 117-nucleotide unclassified non-coding RNA. It matches the Rfam family "Metazoan signal recognition particle RNA". From Rfam's summary of the family: The signal recognition particle (SRP) is a universally conserved ribonucleoprotein. It is involved in the co-translational targeting of proteins to membranes. Lineage: Eukaryota; Metazoa; Chordata; Mammalia; Primates; Cercopithecidae. The record is from Ensembl.